UCCUGCGCUCCGCUGCUAGUGCUUGCGGCACCAAAAGCUGGGCCAGGACCGAGGGAUGGUGGUGGGAUGAGGCUAGACCCCCUUCACCCAUCCUGGAACCUUGCUGAAUUCAUCAGGGCCACGGCCUGGGUCCGCUAACCCACACCUGACGCCCGAGGGACAAAGGACAAGAUGGCAGGGUAGAGACCCUUGGAUUUGCUCCUUUUGGAUUUUUGGAUUUGGACCUGACUUUCUUUGUCAAUCCUCAUGCCCGAUCCAGUGGUCAAAGAAGGAGGAGACCCAACGGCUGUUUCUUUCUCCCUUCAUUUUUCCAACAAAGAAGCUUCAUGAGAACAUUAACACCGAAAGAAAAUUGUGUUCACUGCAGGACUUUUCAAGGAUCGGUGGAAAGAUUUAUGUAAACAAAUUAUUCAGUUCUUCCUUUGGUGACCUUGGGCCUAAGAGUGAACGCGAUGAUCCUAUGGCUUUUUGCCCUUUCCUCAAUACAGAAGCUGCAGACUGCGCUCAGCAAGACCUCACCAAAUGGAGGAAAAUUAAAGAGAGAAAUGGUCCAUGGUGUAUUCUUACCCGCCAUAAAUUGGCGUCAUUUUGGCCACCAUCCAGGAGAGAGACACCAGCCUAUAGAAACAGAGAAAGAAGAUCAGAAGCUGAUGGAAGGAAGGGAGGUUGGUCGUGCUGCUGUCCUCAGGAAGGUAGAGGGAAGCCGAGCAGGAAUUAACAGGAGUGAAUAGUCAGCAAGGGUGUUUUACAGGAAAUAACUCUAUCUACUGAGGUUUUCCAACAAAUGCAGAAUUCAGCGUAGCAGAUCAAAAGAAAGAAAGGAAGGAAGAAAGAAAGAAAAAGAAAAAGAAAGAAGAGAAUAAUUAUGUCCAGAAUUGUCCCAAUUGUCCUGCUCAGUGCAAACACACACAAACACACACACACACACACACACACACACACACACACACACCCUGCAGCCUAUAAUCCUCCCUCAUGCCCCUAUCCUGUUGAUCUUUCUUCACUUAAAAAUUAUCGGCAAAGAAUUUAUUCAUUUGGGAGAAUUCCAGGCACUACAUUUAUGUUCAGUUCAAAUGAAAUGGGAUCCAGACUUUUCAAACUGUGCUGUUCUGCAGAUAAAACACAAAGGCAGGACCUCAUUAUCUGGAGACAUGGUCCUUUCUUUUUCCUGUUGCCUUUUGUUUCUAAGCAAUUUUAGGCUUGUUUGGAAAGUCUCAUAACAGGGGCAGAACAUUUUUCACCACAUCUAUUUCAGGAGGGUUUUUAGUUAGGAAUAAUGAAUUUACCUCUAAACAGAUGGAAGAGUUUUACUAAAGCUAGAAACGACACUUUUCUUAAUAUCCCCGAUAGGCUGAUCUUAAUCCUCUCAUUGUUAAAAAUGCUUGGUCUAUGAGAGUCUUAUUUAUGUGCCAAGUGUCUUUAUUAAAUCAUGAAAUUAACACAGAAAAAAAUCCUAUUACAAUGGGUUUCUGUAUAUGAUCAAAAGUUGUUCAUGGUCCUGCUGAUAGACUACUUAUUCCAAAAUUUAAAAAGGUGAAAUCCCAAUAGAGCCCAAUGCUUGGCUGAGGUUUUAAAAAUUCAUUGUAAAAUGGCCGGAGGGGUUAUGAGGCCCCCAGCCAAGAAAAGGCCCACGUUUUAUCAAGGCAGUAGUCCCUAACAAAAAGAAAACUGUGAAAGAUAGGCCUCCCAUUCACCCAUACAAACGAAUUCCUGGCAACAUUGUAAUAUGAUUUGACCUGUAGAAACACAACAAGUCUCUGAUAUCCACUUUGAUUUUUAAGAACCUAAGAGGCAAAUUCAAAGACAAAUUGCACUAGUGAAUCCAGGGUUGUGGGAUGCUAAAAGAGUUUAAAAAGUCAAGAGAAGCAGUUUGGUAUGUUUGUAUAUUGGAUUUUGAAAUUGAACUAAAAAUAUAUUUUUUUGAAUGCAGAAGUAGUACAUGUUCGUCACAGGAGAAAAAAUUCCCUCAAUACCCUUCCCAUUGAGAAAGUACACUGGUUUGGGGUUUCCAAACUCGAUUCUUGCCUUUACAUGAAAGUGAGUGUUAAUGGCUCUGUGUUAGGGCUUAGUCUAGAAGCGCAGGUCCUGAUGGACAUUAGGAGAACCUAAAAAGAGAAAAAGAGAUCCAACUUGGAGCGGUCAAGGUCUGUGGCCUGUUAGGGGGACCUGGAGGGCUCCGUUAACCACCUAAGGGAAGGCAACAGGAGGUCCAGAUGAAGCAGAAGACACGGGAGGACCAUGCACGAUGGAAGAUCUUAGGUAGAACCAACAGGUAGCAGAUAAGCUGGGACAGACGUGACUGAUGUCAGACAGAGAGACGGAGCCUGCAAAGGGCUUUGACCCCGGAGAUGCGUUUAAAAUCCUUUAGCCUUUCAAAGAUGGUUAACCCAAAUUACUUUUCUUGCUUGUUCAGAUGCCUUAAUAUCUCAUACCAUUACCAAGGACCUGCCAUGUUAAAAAAUAAACAUUUGGGAAGCGA
Molecule: long non-coding RNA, 2479 nt
Organism: Nyctereutes procyonoides (raccoon dog)
Lineage: Eukaryota; Metazoa; Chordata; Mammalia; Carnivora; Canidae
Exons: 2
Source: RefSeq, a predicted model, not a curated record